CUACGUGCCAGCAGCCGCGGUAAUACGGAAGGUCCAGGCGUUAUCCGGAUUUAUUGGGUUUAAAGGGUGCGUAGGCCGUUUGAUAAGCGUGCUGUGAAAUAUAGUGGCUCAACCUCUAUCGUGCAGCGCGAACUGUCGAACUUGAGUGCGUAGUAGGUAGGCGGAAUUCGUGGUGUAGCGGUGAAAUGCUUAGAUAUCACGAAGAACUCCGAUUGCGAAGGCAGCUUACCGUAACGUUACUGACGCUUAAGCACGAAGGUGCGGGUAUCGAACAGGAUUAGAUACCCUGGUAGUCCGCACAGUAAACGAUGGAUGCUCGCUGUUGGCCUUUAUGGUCAGUGGCUUAGCGAAAGCGUUAAGCAUCCCACCUGGGGAGUACGCCGGCAACGGUGAAACUCAAAGGAAUUGACGGGGGCCCGCACAAGCGGAGGAACAUGUGGUUUAAUUCGAUGAUACGCGAGGAACCUUACCCGGGCUUGAACUGCAGCUGAACGAUUCAGAGA
RNAcentral lists this ribosomal RNA (503 nucleotides) under uncultured bacterium. Its description in RNAcentral is "bacterial SSU rRNA". It matches the Rfam family "Bacterial small subunit ribosomal RNA", at positions 501 to 1006 of the family's 1533-position model. The record is from RNAcentral.